This 464-nucleotide ribosomal RNA is filed under the name uncultured bacterium. RNAcentral describes it as "partial 16S ribosomal RNA". It matches the Rfam family "Bacterial small subunit ribosomal RNA", at positions 28 to 507 of the family's 1533-position model. The record is from RNAcentral.
GACGAACGCUGGCGGCGUGCUUAACACAUGCCAGUCGAACGGAAAGGCCCUGCUUGCAGGGUACUCGAGUGGCGAACGGGUGAGUAACACGUGGGUGAUCUUCCCUGCACUUCGGGAUAAGCCUGGGAAACUGGGUCUAAUACCGGAUAGUAGCCAUUUUUAGUGUGAUGGUUGGAAAGUUUUUUCGGUGUAGGAUGAGCUCGCGGCCUAUCAGCUUGUUGGUGGGGUAAUGGCCUACCAAGGCGGCGACGGGUAGCCGCCCUGAGAGGGUGGACGGCCACAUUGGGACUGAGAUACGGCCCAGACUCCUACGGGAGGCAGCAGUGGGGAAUAUUGCACAAUGGGCGCAAGCCUGAUGCAGCGACGCCGCGUGGGGGAUGACGGCCUUCGGGUUGUAAACUCCUUUCGCUAGGGACGAAGCUUUUGUGACGGUACCUAGAUAAGAAGCACCGGCUAACUACGUG